This 345-nucleotide unclassified non-coding RNA is filed under the name Hevea brasiliensis (rubber tree). The record is from RNAcentral. Lineage: Eukaryota; Viridiplantae; Streptophyta; Magnoliopsida; Malpighiales; Euphorbiaceae.
CACUGUUGAGAAGGUACGCAGCAGUAACUCAUCAAGGUCCUUCCUCAAAGGUCCUGAAAAGUGAUGGGAUCAUCUAGUAAUUGAUGCUUUGGAUGAAAAUUAACAGUUAUUGGAAUGUAAUAUAAACAAACAUGCUAAUAGAGAUCAGAGGGAAGAAUUAUAAUGCCUUUGGAUGAUUCUGAAGCCCCAUUGAGGAGAUUAUCAUAGGACUCUUUCAGGAACUCCUCAGUUGCUCUCCUCAAUUCUGCAUCACAUAUUUUGGUAGUUCCUUCCUUGGGUUCAUGUUACGGAGAUUAUUGUAAGAUUCUUCCAUAUUCUUCAAGAUUGUUUCUUUUGAUUCUGAGG